RNAcentral lists this transfer RNA (68 nucleotides) under Chondrodactylus fitzsimonsi. Its description in RNAcentral is "tRNA-Ala". It matches the Rfam family "tRNA". From Rfam's summary of the family: Transfer RNA (tRNA) molecules are approximately 80 nucleotides in length. Their secondary structure includes four short double-helical elements and three loops (D, anti-codon, and T loops). Further hydrogen bonds mediate the characteristic L-shaped molecular structure. tRNAs have two regions of fundamental functional importance: the anti-codon, which is responsible for specific mRNA codon recognition, and the 3' end, to which the tRNAs corresponding amino acid is attached (by aminoacyl-tRNA synthetases). tRNAs cope with the degeneracy of the genetic code in two manners: having more than one tRNA (with a specific anti-codon) for a particular amino acid; and 'wobble' base-pairing, i.e. permitting non-standard base-pairing at the 3rd anti-codon position. The record is from RNAcentral. Lineage: Eukaryota; Metazoa; Chordata; Lepidosauria; Squamata; Gekkonidae.
GGGGUUUUAGCUUAAUUAAAGUGUCUGAGUUGCAAUCAGUUGAUGUAAAUAAGAAUUUUACAGGCCCU